UCGCAUCCGCCAACCGGUUCAGCCGUGUCGCGGAAGGUUUACCAACCAGCUAAUGCUCCCUGCAGGGGAGCGGAGGUCAGCG
Acidovorax temperans is the source of this 82-nucleotide regulatory RNA element. It matches the Rfam family "SucA RNA motif". NCBI's taxonomy places the organism in Bacteria, Pseudomonadati, Pseudomonadota, Betaproteobacteria, Burkholderiales, Comamonadaceae. The record is from Rfam.